Molecule: long non-coding RNA, 637 nt
Filed under: Mytilus galloprovincialis (Mediterranean mussel)
Lineage: Eukaryota; Metazoa; Mollusca; Bivalvia; Mytilida; Mytilidae
Source: RNAcentral
GUUUCUGAGUUUAGUGUGACAUCUAUUUACACUGAACUAGUACCAAUUUUUGUUUACAGGCUAGUUGAAGCCUUCCUCAGGGUGCUGGAUUUUCUGGUUGUGUUAAGACACAUUGGUGGCUUUAGGCUGUUUUCUACUCUAUGUGAAAGGUUGUAGUCUCUUUGACACUUUCCCUAUUUCCAUUCUCAAUUGUAUGAAUGAAUUACACAAGUUCACCAAGAUUUUCUUUUCUAUGGCAACAUAAGUACUAUGUACUCUCAUGAUCCACCUCUUGCGUGCCAACUAUAUGCUCCCAUUCAAAUGCAUUGAUCAUCCACAAAAGGGGGGCCAGGGGAUUUCCAGAACCCCCUGGUUCUGCCACUGACUGAUCUUUAAAGACAAACUAAUAAUGUUUCUAUAGUCUCUUUAUUACACAGGCAUAUAUCACAAUUGUUGAAAUUGUACAGAAAAAAAAUUGCAAUUAAUUCAUUGUGGUAAAUCUGUUAUCUUGAUUCUCUUCAUAUGGAAAUCAUAUACACUACAACCCAAGUGGAUCAUGUUCUUUCUACCUAACACAGUGGAGUAAAUACAGAGAAGGAGGAAUCAUCAAAAAGUUCCUUGACCCUUGUGCCUUUUGUAAAGAUUUGAAGGUUUUCAU